GACGAACGCUGGCGGCGUGCUUAACACAUGCAAGUCGAACGAUGAAGAAGAGAAACGCGAGCUUCGGUUCAACUUUCACUUCGGAUUAGUGGCAGACGGGUGAGUAACGCGUGAGCAACCUACCUCUUACAAAGGGAUAGCCUCGGGAAACCGUGAUUAAUACCAUAUGACACAUUCAUAAGGCAUCUUAAGAAUGUUAAAGCUACGGCGGUAAGAGAUGGGCUCGCGUCCCAUUAGCUAGUUGGUGAGGUAACGGCCCACCAAGGCGACGAUGGGUAACCGGGCUGAGAGGGUGAACGGUCACACUGGAACUGAGACACGGUCCAAACUCCUACGGGAGGGAGCAGAGGGGAAUAUUGCACAAUGGAGGGAACUCUGAUGCAGCGACGCCGCGUAAGCGAUGAAGGAAUUCGUUUCGUAAAGCUCUGUUCUAUGGGAAGAAAAGGACGGUACCAUAGGAGAAAGCCCCGGCUAAAUACGUG
Molecule: ribosomal RNA, 482 nt
Filed under: uncultured bacterium
Lineage: Bacteria
Description: partial 16S ribosomal RNA
Rfam family: Bacterial small subunit ribosomal RNA
Source: RNAcentral